This 95-nucleotide transfer RNA is filed under the name Thalassospira tepidiphila. RNAcentral describes it as "tRNA-Arg". Lineage: Bacteria; Pseudomonadati; Pseudomonadota; Alphaproteobacteria; Rhodospirillales; Thalassospiraceae. The record is from RNAcentral.
CGCGGAGUGCCGAAAGUUGCCCGCGCAGGGUUUCGACCUCUGCCGUGUCAGCGUCUGUAGCCUGGCUUUUGGCUUCGAUUGCCGACUCCGCAGCC